CUCCCUGCCGGCCGCGCCCGGGGCCGCCCCCGCCCCUGGCACCGCCGCGCGCCCCCCCGCGCCCCCGCCGCGCCCCCGCCGCGCCCCCGCCCGCCCCGACCGCCGCCUCCGCGAGCUGUCAACAAAGGACAACCGGGUUUGGCACCCGGAGGCCGCCGGGCUGCACGCCCUGCGCCCUGCGCAGCCCGGACCCGCCGGCCACCUUAAGUGGCCAAGGGGGCAACGAAAUCCUGCAAGGGGCGGGGGCGCUGGGGACUGGGGGGAGGCCUUGAGACCGCAGCCCGCCAGCACCCCCCAUCGACUCCGCACCCCCGCACCCCCCAGUGCGCGGAGCCCAGCACGCCCGCCCGCCCGCCCGCCCGCCCGCCCGCAGAGUAGGUGAGGGCAGUGGGGAGGUGCCCCCCCACCUCCCCUUAGCACCACCUGUCACCGCGUCCAUCCCGCACACGUCCCUCUUCAUCUUUAAUGCGAGUGACGGGGUGAGUGGGGAGGAGCGGGUGCGGCCCGUGGGGUUGAGAACAGAGGGCCUCGGAAUUGGAAUUGGUGGCAGCAAAUGCCCCCCCCCCCGCCCCCCGCCCGGCCUCGCUCGUGGAUUUCUAAAAGCCAACACGCUGUCAGCUGGUGUCAAACCCGUAGUCCCUGGGGGCCCACGGAACCUCAACCCGAUGCCUUGCAGUCCAUCCUUCAUUUCCACAAGGGCAGACAGUCACAGCCCAGCACAGUUCUGGACAAGCAGUGGGUAUUUAAUAAAUACUUAUCGAAUCAAUGGAUGGAAAGAUGGAUGGAUGGAUGAAUGGAUGGAUGGAUGGGUGGAUGGAUGGGUGGAUGGAUGGGCAUCUGUUUAUCUUAUGUCAAAUACUCAUCUUUGGAAAAUCCUUGCAAGCCCAACAGGGUUCUCCUCCACCGCAACCCACGCACCUCAGCUGGUCGCCGUGCUCCUGAAGCCUCACUCUUGCAAAGCCACCUGUGGCUGCUGCACUGUUAACCCGGGCCCCCUGCUUAUUCUUUGUUUGUCACUAGAUGGGUGA
This 1028-nucleotide long non-coding RNA is filed under the name Canis lupus familiaris (dog). Its description in RNAcentral is "lncRNA (ENSCAFG00030017079.1)". The record is from RNAcentral. Lineage: Eukaryota; Metazoa; Chordata; Mammalia; Carnivora; Canidae.